UGCAGAUUGUAUGUGACCUAGUGUUC
Molecule: non-coding RNA, 26 nt
Filed under: Homo sapiens (human)
Lineage: Eukaryota; Metazoa; Chordata; Mammalia; Primates; Hominidae
Source: RNAcentral